This 253-nucleotide ribosomal RNA is filed under the name uncultured bacterium. RNAcentral's name for it is "partial 16S ribosomal RNA". It matches the Rfam family "Bacterial small subunit ribosomal RNA", at positions 524 to 776 of the family's 1533-position model. The record is from RNAcentral.
UACGUAGGGUGCGAGCGUUGUCCGGAAUUAUUGGGCGUAAAGAGCUUGUAGGCGGUUUGUCGCGUCUGCUGUGAAAAUCCGGGGCUCAACCCCGGACUUGCAGUGGGUACGGGCAGACUAGAGUGUGGUAGGGGAGACUGGAAUUCCUGGUGUAGCGGUGGAAUGCGCAGAUAUCAGGAGGAACACCGAUGGCGAAGGCAGGUCUCUGGGCCGAUACUGACGCUGAGGAGCGAAAGCGUGGGGAGCAAAAGGG